UACAGAGGUCUCAAGCGUUGUUCGGAUUCAUUGGGCGUAAAGGGUGCGUAGGUGGCGCUGUAAGUCGGGUGUGAAAUUUCGGAGCUUAACCCCAAGCCUGCUUCCGAUACGGGCGGACUAGAGGUAGGCAGGGGAGAACGGAAUUCCUGGUGUAGCGGUGAAAUGCGCAGAUAUCAGGAGGAACACCGGUGGCGAAGGCGGUUCUCUGGGCCUUACCUGACGCUGAGGAGCGAAAGCGUGGGGAGCAAACAGG
This 253-nucleotide ribosomal RNA is filed under the name uncultured bacterium. RNAcentral describes it as "partial 16S ribosomal RNA". It matches the Rfam family "Bacterial small subunit ribosomal RNA", at positions 524 to 776 of the family's 1533-position model. The record is from RNAcentral.